CCAAUAGCGUAUAUUAAAGUUGUUGCAGUUAAAAAGCUCGUAGUUGAAUUUCGGGAUUAGUACGCUGGUCGUGCCUUCGGUAUGUACUGGUGUUACUGGUUCCUACCUUCUGACGAACCGUCAUGUCAUUAAUUUGGUGUGGCGGGAAAUCAGGACUGUUACUUUGAAAAAAUUAGAGUGUUUAAAGCAGGCUCGCGCUUGAAUACAUUAGCAUGGAAUAAUGAAAUAGGACGUUCGAUCCUAUUUUGUUGGUUUCUAGGAUUGACGUAAUGAUUAAUAGGGAUAGUUGGGGGCAUUAGUAUUCAAUUGUCAGAGGUGAAAUUCUUGGAUUUAUUGAAGACUAACUACUGCGAAAGCAUUUGCCAAGGAUGUUUUCAUUAAUCAAGAACGAAAGUUAGGGGAUCGAAGACGAUCAGAUACCGUCGUAGUCUUAACCAUAAACUAUGCCGACUAGGAAUCAGACGAUGUUAAUUUUUUAAUGACUCGUUUGGCACCUUACA
Molecule: unclassified non-coding RNA, 500 nt
Filed under: uncultured Glomus
Lineage: Eukaryota; Fungi; Glomeromycota; Glomeromycetes; Glomerales; Glomeraceae
Description: SSU rRNA
Rfam family: Eukaryotic small subunit ribosomal RNA
Source: RNAcentral